RNAcentral lists this long non-coding RNA (1251 nucleotides) under Pan troglodytes (chimpanzee). Its description in RNAcentral is "long non-coding RNA NONPTRT014345". The record is from RNAcentral. Lineage: Eukaryota; Metazoa; Chordata; Mammalia; Primates; Hominidae.
UUCACCGUGUUGCCCAGGCUGGCCUCGAACUCCUAGGCUCAAGCAAUCCUCCCGCUUUGGCCUCUCAAAGUGCUGGCAUUACAAGUGUGAGCCACCACGCCCAGCUUUGUACUUUCUUAAUGAUGUGAAAAGACAUCUGAGUAAAUCUGUAGUUGAGAGUGCAGGAAAAAGAAACCCUAUCACACACUCUUUUGUCAACCGAAUUGCAGAAAUCCACAUUCAAACUGGAUGCAUGCGUUCAGCAACUGGAAGCUGAGUUCAUAUUUCAUUGCCCAACUACCCUGACCACUUGGGAAUCGCAGGUUUGGAAGGACCCACAGCCAUUCUGUGGAAAUGGAUCUGCUUUCAGGACCGAAUCUCAGACUUCUUGGGGAAGGCUUCAGUGGCUGCCUUUGCUGUACAGACCUGGAGAUGGGUCUGAUGAUCGGACACCUGAAUUAUCUGUGUGGCUGAGUUUCAAGAAGACCUGCUGGGGUGAAAUGAAAAUGGUGCCUACUGGAAGCCCCAGUGGCUUUGCUGGUGGAGAUUUGCUCCUCCACUGUCUCUUCUUGUAGACACACGACUGCUACAGUAUCAAGGGUCUGAUGCAGACAUGACAAUGUCAAGAGGAAGAGGAGAGCCUCGCUCUUCCCAGGCUUUUGCUUUUAAGAGCAGAAAAACUUUCCCCAGAGUUCCACCAGCUCACUUCUCAUCUUACUUCUUUGGCCAGAACUGGCCCUUGUGCCCAUAUUGUCAGUCAAAUGCCGACAAAGGAAAGGGGCCACUAUGAGUGGUUUAGACUUGGAUUGGGUUUGUCCUUAUUGGAUUGUCCUUAAGUCCUUUGAAAAAGAAGUAUACAACAGAAUGAAAUCUUGACUCAGCUUUCAAGAAUAAAGAGGGUGAGAUGACUGAUGGAUGGCUAGCAAAAUCAGAUGUGGGCUCUGUCCUCAUGGAGCAUACAGUCAGAAGGGGAAGAUUUACCUAAUUACACUAACAAACUUAUAACUGUGGUCAGUGUUCUGAAGGAAAGGAAAUCCAGUUGUAUGGUAACAUAUAACAAAGAAACUGAACUAGGAUGGAGAUGGGGGUGGUAAGUGUGGUUGGGGAAGCCAGGGACAUGAUCUGUAGGAUGGCUGGCCUGGAUUCAAAUUCCACUCCACUUACUUGCUGUGUGAUUUUAGAUAAGUCGCUUCUCCUCUCUGAGCUCAACUUCAUCUAUAACAAUCUUUCCUAGGGUUGUUAAAGGAUUGAAUGAGCCACUCUAUGUAACCA